UUGACCUCGGAUCAGGUAGGAGUUACCCGCUGAACUUAAGCAUAUCAAUAAGCGGAGGAAAAGAAACCAACCGGGAUUGCCUCAGUAACGGCGAGUGAAGCGGCAAGAGCUCAAAUUUGAAAUCUGGCCCCUGUGGGGUCCGAGUUGUAAUUUGGAGAGGAUGCUUCGGGUGCGGCCCCUGUCUAAGUGCCCUGGAACGGGCCGUCAUAGAGGGUGAGAAUCCCGUCUGGGAUGGGCGGCCGUGCCCGUGUGAAGCUCCUUCGACGAGUCGAGUUGUUUGGGAAUGCAGCUCUAAGCGGGUGGUAAAUUUCAUCUAAAGCUAAAUACUGGCCGGAGACCGAUAGCGCACAAGUAGAGUGAUCGAAAGAUGAAAAGCACUUUGAAAAGAGAGUUAAACAGCACGUGAAAUUGUUGAAAGGGAAGCGUUGGCCACCAGACGCGCCCGAGGGGGUUCAGCCGGCACUUGUGCCGGUGCACUCCCCCCCGGGUGGGCCAGCAUCGGUUUGGGCGGUCGCUGAAAGGCUCCAGGAAUGUAGCACCCUCCGGGGUGCCUUAUAGCCUGGGGCGUCAUGCGGCCCGCCUGGACCGAGGCCCGCGCUUCGGCGAGGAUGCUGGCGUAAUGGUGGUCAACGGCC
RNAcentral lists this ribosomal RNA (635 nucleotides) under Penicillium sp. NRRL 35637. RNAcentral's name for it is "eukaryotic LSU rRNA". It matches the Rfam family "Eukaryotic large subunit ribosomal RNA", at positions 1 to 649 of the family's 3401-position model. Lineage: Eukaryota; Fungi; Ascomycota; Eurotiomycetes; Eurotiales; Aspergillaceae. The record is from RNAcentral.